RNAcentral lists this ribosomal RNA (259 nucleotides) under uncultured bacterium. Its description in RNAcentral is "partial 16S ribosomal RNA". It matches the Rfam family "Bacterial small subunit ribosomal RNA", at positions 95 to 354 of the family's 1533-position model. The record is from RNAcentral.
UGGGCGGACGGGUGAGUAACGCGUGGGUAACCUGCCCUGUACAGGGGGACAACAGUUAGAAAUGACUGCUAAUACCGCAUAAGCGCACAGGACCGCAUGGUCCGGUGUGAAAAACUCCGGUGGUACAGGAUGGACCCGCGUCUGAUUAGGUAGUUGGCGGGGUAACGGCCCACCAAGCCGACGAUCAGUAGCCGACCUGAGAGGGUGACCGGCCACAUUGGGACUGAGACACGGCCCAAACUCCUACGGAAGGCAGCAG